This 573-nucleotide ribosomal RNA is filed under the name uncultured bacterium. RNAcentral's name for it is "bacterial SSU rRNA". It matches the Rfam family "Bacterial small subunit ribosomal RNA", at positions 98 to 689 of the family's 1533-position model. The record is from RNAcentral.
GCGUACGGGUGAGUAACACGUGGACCAUCUACCUUCUAGUGGGGAAUACCGUUGGGAAACCGACGACAAUACCGCAUAAGCUCGAGAGAGGAAAGCAGCAAUGCGCUGGAAGAGGAGUCCGCGGUCGAUUAGUUAGUUGGCAGGGUAAAAGCCUACCAAGACUGUGAUCGAUAGCCGGCCUGAGAGGGCACACGGCACACUGGCACUGAAACACGGGCCAGACUCCUACGGGAGGCAGCAGUGGGGAAUCUUGCACAAUGGAGGAAACUCUGAUGCAGCGACGCCGCGUGAGCGAUGAAGCCCUUCGGGGUGUAAAGCUCUUUCGGCAGGGAAGAUUAUGACGGUACCUGCAGAAGCAGCUGCGGUAACUACGUGCCAGCAGCCGCGGUUAAUACCGUAGGCAGCAAAGCGUUGCUACGGAGUUUAACUUGGGCCGUAAAAGGGGUGCGUAAGGCGGGGCCUUUUUAAAGUUGGGUGUGAAAUCUCCGGUCAACCGGGAGGUGCGCCGAAUAUUGAGAGGGUUAAAAGUGUGGGGAAAGGAAAGUGGAAUUCCUGGUGCGUAACGGUGAAUGC